Pygocentrus nattereri (red-bellied piranha) is the source of this 221-nucleotide small nucleolar RNA. Its record names the gene SNORA73. It matches the Rfam family "Small nucleolar RNA SNORA73 family". Rfam says of the family: U17 (SNORA73A and SNORA73B) also known as E1 belongs to the H/ACA class of small nucleolar RNAs (snoRNAs). Vertebrate U17 is intron-encoded and ranges in length from 200-230 nucleotides, longer than most snoRNAs. The record is from Ensembl. Lineage: Eukaryota; Metazoa; Chordata; Actinopteri; Characiformes; Serrasalmidae.
CCAACGAGGGCACCCUGUGAGAUGGCUCUCAUAUGGCUCUGUCCGUGUGGCGUAUGGGAGCGUAGCACAUUAGUGCCAUGACGCGUGGUCCCGUUCCAUGACGUUGGAUAGCAUGCUUGUCCCCGGCUCUUGGCUGUUGAGGACGGCGUCCUGUAUAUUCCUAGGUCUUCCCAGAGCUCUUUUGGCUAUUACUGGGGAGGUAAACCAUGCAGUGCACAUAA